Molecule: ribosomal RNA, 301 nt
Filed under: uncultured bacterium
Lineage: Bacteria
Description: partial 16S ribosomal RNA
Rfam family: Bacterial small subunit ribosomal RNA
Source: RNAcentral
CAGUCGCCGCGGUAAUACGGAGGGUGCAAGCGUUAUCCGGAUUUAUUGGGUUUAAAGGGUCCGUAGGCGGAUCUGUAAGUCAGUGGUGAAAUCUCACAGCUUAACUGUGAAACUGCCAUUGAUACUGCAGGUCUUAAGUAAAUUUGAAGUGGCUGGAAUAAGUAGUGUAGCGGUGAAAUGCAUAGAUAUUACUUAGAACACCAAUUGCGAAGGCAGGUCACUAAGAUUUAACUGACGCUGAUGGACGAAAGCGUGGGGAGCAAACAGGAUUAGAUACCCGGGUAGUCCCUGUCUCUUAUAC